Molecule: ribosomal RNA, 248 nt
Filed under: Aseroe sp.
Lineage: Eukaryota; Fungi; Basidiomycota; Agaricomycetes; Phallales; Clathraceae
Description: partial 28S ribosomal RNA
Rfam family: Eukaryotic large subunit ribosomal RNA
Source: RNAcentral
AGAGCUCAAAUUUGUAAUCUGGCGGUCUCAGGCCGUCCGAGUUGUAAUCUGGAGAAGCGUUUUCAGUGCCGGCCCGCGUACAAGUCCCCUGGAACGGGGCGUCGCAGAGGGUGAGAAUCCCGUCUUUGACGCGGUCUGCCCGGUGCCAUGUGAUGCGCUCUCGAAGAGUCGAGUUGUUUGGGAAUGCAGCUCAAAACGGGUGGUAAAUUCCAUCUAAAGCUAAAUACUGGCGAAAGACCGAUAGCGAA